RNAcentral lists this ribosomal RNA (2528 nucleotides) under Escherichia coli TW14425. Its description in RNAcentral is "bacterial LSU rRNA". It matches the Rfam family "Bacterial large subunit ribosomal RNA", at positions 415 to 2925 of the family's 2925-position model. Lineage: Bacteria; Pseudomonadati; Pseudomonadota; Gammaproteobacteria; Enterobacterales; Enterobacteriaceae. The record is from RNAcentral.
GGGCGGGACACGUGGUAUCCUGUCUGAAUAUGGGGGGACCAUCCUCCAAGGCUAAAUACUCCUGACUGACCGAUAGUGAACCAGUACCGUGAGGGAAAGGCGAAAAGAACCCCGGCGAGGGGAGUGAAAAAGAACCUGAAACCGUGUACGUACAAGCAGUGGGAGCACGCUUAGGCGUGUGACUGCGUACCUUUUGUAUAAUGGGUCAGCGACUUAUAUUCUGUAGCAAGGUUAACCGAAUAGGGGAGCCGAAGGGAAACCGAGUCUUAACUGGGCGUUAAGUUGCAGGGUAUAGACCCGAAACCCGGUGAUCUAGCCAUGGGCAGGUUGAAGGUUGGGUAACACUAACUGGAGGACCGAACCGACUAAUGUUGAAAAAUUAGCGGAUGACUUGUGGCUGGGGGUGAAAGGCCAAUCAAACCGGGAGAUAGCUGGUUCUCCCCGAAAGCUAUUUAGGUAGCGCCUCGUGAAUUCAUCUCCGGGGGUAGAGCACUGUUUCGGCAAGGGGGUCAUCCCGACUUACCAACCCGAUGCAAACUGCGAAUACCGGAGAAUGUUAUCACGGGAGACACACGGCGGGUGCUAACGUCCGUCGUGAAGAGGGAAACAACCCAGACCGCCAGCUAAGGUCCCAAAGUCAUGGUUAAGUGGGAAACGAUGUGGGAAGGCCCAGACAGCCAGGAUGUUGGCUUAGAAGCAGCCAUCAUUUAAAGAAAGCGUAAUAGCUCACUGGUCGAGUCGGCCUGCGCGGAAGAUGUAACGGGGCUAAACCAUGCACCGAAGCUGCGGCAGCGACGCUGAUGCGUUGUUGGGUAGGGGAGCGUUCUGUAAGCCUGUGAAGGUGUGCUGUGAGGCAUGCUGGAGGUAUCAGAAGUGCGAAUGCUGACAUAAGUAACGAUAAAGCGGGUGAAAAGCCCGCUCGCCGGAAGACCAAGGGUUCCUGUCCAACGUUAAUCGGGGCAGGGUGAGUCGACCCCUAAGGCGAGGCCGAAAGGCGUAGUCGAUGGGAAACAGGUUAAUAUUCCUGUACUUGGUGUUACUGCGAAGGGGGGACGGAGAAGGCUAUGUUGGCCGGGCGACGGUUGUCCCGGUUUAAGCGUGUAGGCUGGUUUUCCAGGCAAAUCCGGAAAAUCAAGGCUGAGGCGUGAUGACGAGGCACUACGGUGCUGAAGCAACAAAUGCCCUGCUUCCAGGAAAAGCCUCUAAGCAUCAGGUAACAUCAAAUCGUACCCCAAACCGACACAGGUGGUCAGGUAGAGAAUACCAAGGCGCUUGAGAGAACUCGGGUGAAGGAACUAGGCAAAAUGGUGCCGUAACUUCGGGAGAAGGCACGCUGAUAUGUAGGUGAAGUCCCUCGCGGAUGGAGCUGAAAUCAGUCGAAGAUACCAGCUGGCUGCAACUGUUUAUUAAAAACACAGCACUGUGCAAACACGAAAGUGGACGUAUACGGUGUGACGCCUGCCCGGUGCCGGAAGGUUAAUUGAUGGGGUCAGCGCAAGCGAAGCUCUUGAUCGAAGCCCCGGUAAACGGCGGCCGUAACUAUAACGGUCCUAAGGUAGCGAAAUUCCUUGUCGGGUAAGUUCCGACCUGCACGAAUGGCGUAAUGAUGGCCAGGCUGUCUCCACCCGAGACUCAGUGAAAUUGAACUCGCUGUGAAGAUGCAGUGUACCCGCGGCAAGACGGAAAGACCCCGUGAACCUUUACUAUAGCUUGACACUGAACAUUGAGCCUUGAUGUGUAGGAUAGGUGGGAGGCUUAGAAGUGUGGACGCCAGUCUGCAUGGAGCCGACCUUGAAAUACCACCCUUUAAUGUUUGAUGUUCUAACGUWGACCCGUAAUCCGGGUUGCGGACAGUGUCUGGUGGGUAGUUUGACUGGGGCGGUCUCCUCCUAAAGAGUAACGGAGGAGCACGAAGGUUGGCUAAUCCUGGUCGGACAUCAGGAGGUUAGUGCAAUGGCAUAAGCCAGCUUGACUGCGAGCGUGACGGCGCGAGCAGGUGCGAAAGCAGGUCAUAGUGAUCCGGUGGUUCUGAAUGGAAGGGCCAUCGCUCAACGGAUAAAAGGUACUCCGGGGAUAACAGGCUGAUACCGCCCAAGAGUUCAUAUCGACGGCGGUGUUUGGCACCUCGAUGUCGGCUCAUCACAUCCUGGGGCUGAAGUAGGUCCCAAGGGUAUGGCUGUUCGCCAUUUAAAGUGGUACGCGAGCUGGGUUUAGAACGUCGUGAGACAGUUCGGUCCCUAUCUGCCGUGGGCGCUGGAGAACUGAGGGGGGCUGCUCCUAGUACGAGAGGACCGGAGUGGACGCAUCACUGGUGUUCGGGUUGUCAUGCCAAUGGCACUGCCCGGUAGCUAAAUGCGGAAGAGAUAAGUGCUGAAAGCAUCUAAGCACGAAACUUGCCCCGAGAUGAGUUCUCCCUGACUCCUUGAGAGUCCUGAAGGAACGUUGAAGACGACGACGUUGAUAGGCCGGGUGUGUAAGCGCAGCGAUGCGUUGAGCUAACCGGUACUAAUGAACCGUGAGGCUUAACC